GUGGGGAAUAUUGGACAAUGGGCGCAAGCCUGAUCCAGCCAUGCCGCGUGAGUGAUGAAGGCCUUCGGGUCGUAAAGCUCUGUUGCAGGGGAAGAACACAAUGACGGUACCCUGCUAGAAAGGAUCGGCUAACUUCGUGCCAGCAGCCGCGGUAAGACGAGGGAUCCUAGCGUUGUUCGGAAUUAUUGGGCGUAAAGCGGGUGCAGGUGGCUUGGUAAGUCAGAUGUGAAAGCCUGGGGCUUAACCCCAGAAGUGCAUUUGAUACUGCGAAGCUUGAGUGCUGGAGAGGCUACUAGAAUUCUUGGUGUAGUGGUGAAAUACGUAGAUAUCAAGAGGAAUACCGGAGGCGAAGGCGGGUAGCUGGCCAGACACUGACACUCAGACCCGAAAGCGUGGGGAUCAAACAGGAUUAGAUACCCCGGUAGUCC
Molecule: ribosomal RNA, 428 nt
Filed under: uncultured bacterium
Lineage: Bacteria
Description: partial 16S ribosomal RNA
Rfam family: Bacterial small subunit ribosomal RNA
Source: RNAcentral